Molecule: non-coding RNA, 21 nt
Organism: Caenorhabditis elegans
Lineage: Eukaryota; Metazoa; Nematoda; Chromadorea; Rhabditida; Rhabditidae
Source: Ensembl
UAAUACGCCCUGUAGUCUUCA